GACGAACCGUCCAAACGUUAUUCGGAAUCACUGGGCUUACAGAGUUCGUAGGCGGUCUGGAAAGUUGGGUGUGAAAUCCCUCGGCCUAACCGAGGAACUGCGCUUGAAACUACCAGACUCGAGGGAGAUAGAGGAAAGCGGAGCUGAUGGUGGAGCGGUGAAAUGCGUUGAUAUCAUCAGGAACACCAGUGGCGAAGGCGACCCACUGGGUCAUUUCUGACGCUGAUGUACGAAAGCUAGGGUAGCGAACGGG
Molecule: ribosomal RNA, 253 nt
Filed under: uncultured bacterium
Lineage: Bacteria
Description: partial 16S ribosomal RNA
Rfam family: Bacterial small subunit ribosomal RNA
Source: RNAcentral